RNAcentral lists this ribosomal RNA (527 nucleotides) under uncultured bacterium. Its description in RNAcentral is "partial 16S ribosomal RNA". It matches the Rfam family "Bacterial small subunit ribosomal RNA", at positions 355 to 874 of the family's 1533-position model. The record is from RNAcentral.
UGGGGAAUUUUGGACAAUGGGCGCAAGCCUGAUCCAGCCAUGCCGCGUGCGGGAAGAAGGCCUUCGGGUUGUAAACCGCUUUUGUCAGGGAAGAAAUCUUCUGAGUUAAUACCUCGGGAGGAUGACGGUACCUGAAGAGUAAGCACCGGCUAACUACGUGCCAGCAGCCGCGGUAAUACGUAGGGUGCAAGCGUUAAUCGGAAUUACUGGGCGUAAAGCGUGCGCAGGCGGUUUUGUAAGACAGAGGUGAAAUCCCCGGGCUCAACCUGGGAACUGCCUUUGUGACUGCAAGGCUUGAGUGCGGCAGAGGGGGGAUGGAAUUCCGCGUGUAGCAGUGAAAUGCGUAGAUAUGCGGAGGAACACCGAUGGCGAAGGCAAUCCCCUGGGCCUGCACUGACGCUCAUGCACGAAAGCGUGGGGAGCAAACAGGAUUAGAUACCCUGGUAGUCCACGCCCUAAACGAUGUCAACUGGUUGUUGGGAAGGUUCCUUCUCAGUAACGUAGCUAACGCGUGAAGUUGACCGCCU